This 401-nucleotide ribosomal RNA is filed under the name uncultured Eubacteriales bacterium. RNAcentral describes it as "bacterial SSU rRNA". It matches the Rfam family "Bacterial small subunit ribosomal RNA", at positions 381 to 774 of the family's 1533-position model. Lineage: Bacteria; Bacillati; Bacillota; Clostridia; Eubacteriales. The record is from RNAcentral.
GCCUGAUCCAGCCAUACCGCGUGGGUGAAGAAGGCCUUCGGGUUGUAAAGCCCUUUUGUUGGGAAAGAAAUCCAGCCGGCUAAUACCUGGUUGGGAUGACGGUACCUGACUAAGAAGCCCCGGCUAACUACGUGCCAGCAGCCGCGGUAAUACGUACGGGGCAAGCGUUAUCCGGAUUUACUGGGUGUAAAGGGAGCGUAGGUGGUUCGGCAAGUCAGAUGUGAAAGCCCGGGGCUCAACCCCGGGACUGCAUUUGAAACUGUCGGGCUAGAGUGCAGGAGAGGUAAGUGGAAUUCCUAGUGUAGCGGUGAAAUGCGUAGAUAUUAGGAGGAACACCAGUGGCGAAGGCGGCUUACUGGACUGUAACUGACACUGAGGCUCGAAAGCGUGGGGAGCAAACA